This 311-nucleotide ribosomal RNA is filed under the name uncultured bacterium. RNAcentral's name for it is "bacterial SSU rRNA". It matches the Rfam family "Bacterial small subunit ribosomal RNA", at positions 51 to 363 of the family's 1533-position model. The record is from RNAcentral.
ACACAUGCAAGUCGAGCGGCAGCAGGUCCUUCGGGAUGCUGGCGAGCGGCGGACGGGUGAGUAACGCGUGGGAAUCUGCCCAUCGGUGGGGGAUAGCCCGAGGAAACUCGGAUUAAUACCGCAUACGCCCUUCGGGGCAAAGUGGACCUCUGAUUCAAGUUCAUGCCGAUGGAUGAGCCCGCGGCCGAUUAGCUAGUUGGUGGGGUAAAGGCCUACCAAGGCGACGAUCGGUAGCUGGUCUGAGAGGACGAUCAGCCACACCGGAACUGAGACACGGUCCGGACUCCUACGGGAGGCAGCAGUGGGGAAUA